This 253-nucleotide ribosomal RNA is filed under the name uncultured bacterium. RNAcentral describes it as "partial 16S ribosomal RNA". It matches the Rfam family "Bacterial small subunit ribosomal RNA", at positions 524 to 776 of the family's 1533-position model. The record is from RNAcentral.
UACGAAGGGGGCUAGCGUUGUUCGGAAUUACUGGGCGUAAAGGGCGCGUAGGCGGUCUUAACAGUCUGAUGUGAAAGACCUGGGCUUAACCUGGGAACUGCAUUGGAUACUAUGAGACUAGAGGGUGUGAGAGGAAAGUGGAAUGACGAGUGUAGAGGUGAAAUUCGUAGAUAUUCGUUGGAACACCAGAGGCGAAGGCGGCUUUCUGGCACACUACUGACGCUAAGGCGCGAAAGCGUGGGGAGCAAACAGG